This 207-nucleotide long non-coding RNA is filed under the name Elaeis guineensis (African oil palm). RNAcentral describes it as "long non-coding RNA (EGUI_LNC010975)". The record is from RNAcentral. Lineage: Eukaryota; Viridiplantae; Streptophyta; Magnoliopsida; Arecales; Arecaceae.
CACAAUCCCUAGAGCAGUGCCCUAGAGAUUAUGUAAGGUCUAAAAUAAAUAUAAACUCAAAUAUUUUAAAUAACCAGAUAAAUAUCAAACAUGUCAAUCGAGUCGCACUUUCAAAUCAAAUAGUACAAUCAUUCAAAUGUUCGUUGGUAUCAGAAAAUUUAAACUAGCUAAAUUACUAAAUGCUCCAGUACUUGACUUCUCUCACCC